RNA transcript from Topomyia yanbarensis, 2432 nucleotides. RefSeq lists it as uncharacterized. The record is from RefSeq and is a predicted model, not a curated record. The transcript is spliced from 6 exons. Lineage: Eukaryota; Metazoa; Arthropoda; Insecta; Diptera; Culicidae.
CGAAGUGAAAUUAUUCAUGUGAAAGAACUGACUCCCUUACAAUUCUAAUGGAUAUUACAAAUAUUAGUUAGCUGCUAGAGUAGUCUAAAUAAAAUUGCUUUGCUUUUUUUUCUCCUUUAAUAAUUCUGUUUUUGUGUACAAUGUUUCUUUGUUUAGUUAUUUUGUUUUCUAUUUCACAAUUUGUAUCUAGUAUUUUUAUAAUGGUGUAGGGACCUAUAUAGAAUGGGUCUAAUUUUUUUCUAUUUUCGUUUUUUAAAUAUACUAUAUCUCCUAUGUUGAUUAUUAAUGGGUUUGUUGGAAUGUGUAUAAAUUCUUGUCUUGAUUGAUUAUCCUUUUCUAAUCUUUGUUUCGCUAUUGCGUUUGAUUUUUCUAACUUGUAUUUUAGUUCUGUGCUAUAUAAGUCUAAAUUGUACAUUGGUGUUAUUGUUGUUGGGUAAUUUUCUUGUGGUAAUUUUGCUUUGUUGCCAAAAAUUAGUUCAUAUGGAGUGAAUUUAUGUUCUGAGUGUGGGGUAGUGUUAUAAGUAAAUGCGUAAUAUGGUAUCCAUUCGUCCCAAUCGGAAUGGUGUUCAUUUACGAAUGAUCUAUGAUUUCUCUCCAAUGAUCCGAUUGUUUGUCGGUGGUAUGCUGUAGCGAAUGUUUGUUUUAUUUGCAGGUAUUUACAAAUCUGUUCAAGUACUUCGUUUUAAUAUUCGGUUCCUUGAUCUGAUUUGAGUUCCAGAAAUUUUCCGUAUAUUAAUAUGAAUUUCUCUACUAGAUUUUUUGCUAUUAUGUUUGCUUCUUUGGUUGGUGUGGGUAUUACUACGAUGUAUUUAGUUAAUAGACCUUUCUCGUCAGACCUUACCCCCAUUUUUUUUAUUUUUAAUCGAAAGAUCUCGUAUUUCUAAGAGCAUUACCGCUGCAGUAAGAUUUUUAGCAUCUAUCCUGAUUUUUUUAUGAUUUUUUAAAUAUUUGAAAUUGCAAGAAUGUUGAAUAUUUUUUUCACCAAAUCAAGAAUGAUGAGACACCAAAUAACCGUUUCGGCAACACUGUUUUACAAUUUUAUUCUUGCGUUAUCGACAACACUGCAAAUGAAGUGGUUAGUAUCGAUAUCACGUUCAUUAUCGAUUGUAAACAAAACUAAGUGAACUCGUGAGCUGUCAAACUGAAGAAAACAAAAAAAUAUCUGAAAAACGUCGCGAAAAUUUAAAAUAAAAUCUCAAACGAAAUUGAAUAAAACGGUUCAAUUACCUUGCACCAGGUGAUCGGUAAAUGGUGAUUUUUUUCUCUAGUCGUACUGACUGAUUCCCCAAACGAGGUAAUAAUUAUAUCGCCAUCAGCAAGAUUUCUUGAACAGUUUACACAGUCAGUUAAAUACUGAUCGCUAGAUACAAUAGUAAAACAGAAUAACAGAAAGCACUGUGUUCUGGAGUGCAAGGCAAUAACACAUCAGAUGUUGCGUUUUACGAAACGACCAAAACUUUUCAACAGCAUCGCGUACAAAUCACAUCGUGCGGAAAAUCAACAGCUUCUUGUAGAUUACAAUCAGUAACUAUUACAUCUCAAAGUAGUAGAGGCACUUCGUGAAGACUACUGGCGGUAGCCUUAACAGCCACUUCGCUUCAAAGAUAUUUAAAAUCAUUGGUGAAAGCUACACAGUAUUUGUGCUCUGUGUUUAAUUGCAAGUCUACGAGUGCUGCAGAAUUACAAUUCAUUUUCGUACCAUCGGAUGUCAGAAAGCGCGAACAUUGGGUUAAAUUGAUGAGGCCAACAACGCUCGCCAAGCAAAUGUAUUGCUGCGAACUACAUUUUGAUAUUGAAAAUGAUUGCAUCGAUUACAAUGAUUUCAAAGCACCUCGGGAAGGUUUUCGGCGGUACAUGAAACUUAAAAAAGACGUACUACCACACAAGAACUUACCAAGUUCUGUUGAAGCUGAAUCAUUAGAGCUUAAUAAUUCCAAUAAACUGUUCGUCACGCCCUUAGUGCAGCGUUCAUCAGAGAGUUUUCCGGACCAACCAAUAGCAGAUCCACUUGGUGAAACAGGUUAUAACUUCAGUUCAAAACUGUUAUGUAUUGCAAUAUACUGUGUUUGCACCAAAACUGUACAAAUCGAAGUAUUGAUAAUACACACCUUAGCACAUUCACUGAUAGAGUUCCACAUUCUGAAGAGGAAGUUCUCUCUAAAUCUACUCUAGGACUCUCUACCCACGAUGAUGCUAGCAAUAUUGAUGCAAGAACAAAAACGGUAGACCAAAUUUUAUCGACGUCAGAUUCUGAAGAGAAAGUUCUCAUAAUACAUACUCUAGGGCUCUCUAGCAACGAUGCGAUUCCGGGUUGUUCUUAUGAAUAUGACAAUAUUACUAGCAAUAUUGGUGAAUCAUCACUUAACCAUGCAUUGCCGAUUAUUCACUGAUUAAUCUUUACUACCUUUGAAUAUUGAAACCACAUGCCACAG